Molecule: unclassified non-coding RNA, 117 nt
Organism: Pongo abelii (Sumatran orangutan)
Lineage: Eukaryota; Metazoa; Chordata; Mammalia; Primates; Hominidae
Rfam family: Metazoan signal recognition particle RNA
About the family: The signal recognition particle (SRP) is a universally conserved ribonucleoprotein. It is involved in the co-translational targeting of proteins to membranes.
Source: Ensembl
GCUGGGCGCGGUGGCUCACGCCUGUAAUCCCAGCACUUUGGGAGGCUGAGGCGGGUGGAUCACCUGAGGUCAGGAGUUCGAGACCAGCCUGACCAACAUGGUGAAACCCCAUCUCUA